RNAcentral lists this ribosomal RNA (500 nucleotides) under uncultured bacterium. Its description in RNAcentral is "partial 16S ribosomal RNA". It matches the Rfam family "Bacterial small subunit ribosomal RNA", at positions 30 to 523 of the family's 1533-position model. The record is from RNAcentral.
AUUGAACGCUGGCGGAAUGCUUUACACAUGCAAGUCGAACGGCAGCACGGACUUCGGUCUGGUGGCGAGUGGCGAACGGGUGAGUAAUGUAUCGGAACGUGCCCAGUCGUGGGGGAUAACGUAGUGAAAAUUACGCUAAUACCGCAUACGAUAUAUGGAUGAAAGCGGGGGAUCGCAAGACCUCGCGCGAUUGGAGCGGCCGAUAUCAGAUUAGAUAGUUGGUGGGGUAAAGGCCCACCAAGCCAACGAUCUGUAGCUGGUCUGAGAGGACGGCCAGGCACACGGGAACUGGGACACGGUCCAGACGCCUACGGGAGGCAGCAGUGGGGAAUUUUGGACACUGGGCGAAAGCGUGAUCCAGCCAUUCCGCGUGCAGGAUGAAGGCCCUCGGGUUGUAAACUGCUUUUGUACAGAACGAAAAGGUUUCUACUAAUACUAGGAGCUCAUGACGGUACUGUAAGAAUAAGCACCGGCUAACUACGUGCCAGCAGCCGCGGUAA